Molecule: ribosomal RNA, 468 nt
Filed under: uncultured bacterium
Lineage: Bacteria
Description: partial 16S ribosomal RNA
Rfam family: Bacterial small subunit ribosomal RNA
Source: RNAcentral
GACGAACGCUGGCGGCGUGCUUAACACAUGCAAGUCGAACGGAAAGGCCCUGCUUUUGUGGGGUGCUCGAGUGGCGAACGGGUGAGUAACACGUGAGUAACCUGCCCUUGACUUUGGGAUAACUUCAGGAAACUGGGGCUAAUACCGGGUAGGAGCUCCUGCUGCAUGGUGGGGGUUGGAAAGUUUCGGCGGUUGGGGAUGGACUCGCGGCUUAUCAGCUUGUUGGUGGGGUAGUGGCUUACCAAGGCUUUGACGGGUAGCCGGCCUGAGAGGGUGACCGGCCACAUUGGGACUGAGAUACGGCCCAGACUCCUACGGGAGGCAGCAGUGGGGAAUAUUGCACAGUGGGCGGAAGCCUGAUGCAGCAACGCCGCGUGCGGGAUGACGGCCUUCGGGUUGUAAACCGCUUUCGCCUGUGACGAAGCGCGAGUGACGGUAAUGGGUAAAGAAGCACCGGCUAACUACGUG